CGUAGUCAAUCUACCCUAUGGACGGGAAUAACCUCGGGAAACUGAGAAUAAUGCCCGAUAGAACAUUAUGCCUGGAAUGGUUUAUGUUUCAAAUGAUUUAUCGCCAUAGGAUGGGACUGCGGCCUAUCAGUUUGUUGGUGAGGUAAUGGCCCACCAAGACUAUUACAGGUACGGGCUCUGAGAGGAGUAGCCCGGAGAUGGGUACUGAGACACGGACCCAGGCCCUAUGGGGCGCAGCAGGCGAGAAAACUUUGCAAUGUGCGAAAGCACGACAAGGUUAAUCCGAGUGGUUUCUGCUAAAGAAACCUUUUGUCAGUCCUAGAAACACUAACGAAUAAGGGGUGGGCAAGUUCUGGUGUCAGCCGCCGCGGUAAAACCAGCACCUCAAGUGGUCAGGAUGAUUAUUGGGCCUAAAGCAUCCGUAGCUCGUUUUGUAAGUUUUCGGUUAAAUCCAUGCGCUUAACGUAUGGGCUGCCGGGAAUACUGCAUAACUAGGAAGUGGGAGAGGUAGACGGUACUCGGGAGGAAGGGGUAAAAUCCUUUGAUCUCUUGAUGACCACCUGUGGCGAAGGCGGUCUACCAGAACACGUUCGACGGUGAGGGAUGAAAGCUGGGGGAGCAAACCGGAUUAGAUACCCGGGUAGUCCCAGCUGUAAACUAUGCAAACUCAGUGACGCAUUGGCUUAUGGCCAAUGCAGUGCUGCAGGGAAGCCGUUAAGUUGCCGC
This 726-nucleotide ribosomal RNA is filed under the name uncultured crenarchaeote. Its description in RNAcentral is "bacterial SSU rRNA". It matches the Rfam family "Archaeal small subunit ribosomal RNA", at positions 99 to 827 of the family's 1478-position model. The record is from RNAcentral. Lineage: Archaea; Thermoproteati; Thermoproteota.